RNAcentral lists this ribosomal RNA (725 nucleotides) under uncultured Fusobacterium sp. Its description in RNAcentral is "bacterial SSU rRNA". It matches the Rfam family "Bacterial small subunit ribosomal RNA", at positions 28 to 776 of the family's 1533-position model. Lineage: Bacteria; Fusobacteriati; Fusobacteriota; Fusobacteriia; Fusobacteriales; Fusobacteriaceae. The record is from RNAcentral.
GAUGAACGCUGACAGAAUGCUUAACACAUGCAAGUCGACUCGAGUCUUCGGACUUGGGUGGCGCACGGGUGAGUAACGCGUAAAGAACUUGCCUCUUAGACCGGGACAACAUCUGGAAACGGAUGCUAAUACCGGAUAUUAUGGUUUUUUCGCAUGGAGGAAUCAUGAAAGCUAGAUGCGCUAAGAGAGAGCUUUGCGUCCCAUUAGCUGGUUGGCGAGGUAACGGCCCACCAAGGCAAUGAUGGGUAGCCGGCCUGAGAGGGUGAACGGCCACAAGGGGACUGAGACACGGCCCUUACUCCUACGGGAGGCAGCAGUGGGGAAUAUUGGACAAUGGACCGCAAGUCUGAUCCAGCAAUUCUGUGUGCACGAUGACGUUUUUCGGAAUGUAAAGUGCUUUCAGUCGGGAAGAAGUCAGUGACGGUACCGACAGAAGAAGCGACGGCUAAAUACGUGCCAGCAGCCGCGGUAAUACGUAUGUCGCAAGCGUUAUCCGGAUUUAUUGGGCGUAAAGCGCGUCUAGGCGGCAAGGAAAGUCUGAUGUGAAAAUGCGGAGCUCAACUCCGUAUGGCGUUGGAAACUGCCUUACUAGAGUACUGGAGAGGUAGGCGGAACUACAAGUGUAGAGGUGAAAUUCGUAUAUAUUUGUAGGAAUGCCGAUGGGGGAAGCCAGCCUACUGGACAGAUACUGACGCUCAAGCGCGAAAGCGUGUGUAGCAAACAGG